AGUGAACGCUGGCGGUAGGCCUAACACAUGCAAGUCGAACGGCAGCACAGUAAGAGCUUGCUCUUACGGGUGGCGAGUGGCGGACGGGUGAGGAAUACAUCGGAAUCUACUUUUUCGUGGGGGAUAACGUAGGGAAACUUACGCUAAUACCGCAUACGACCUACGGGUGAAAGCAGGGGAUCUUCGGACCUUGCGCGAUUGAAUGAGCCGAUGUCGGAUUAGCUAGUUGGCGGGGUAAAGGCCCACCAAGGCGACGAUCCGUAGCUGGUCUGAGAGGAUGAUCAGCCACACUGGAACUGAGACACGGUCCAGACUCCUACGGGAGGCAGCAGUGGGGAAUAUUGGACAAUGGGCGCAAGCCUGAUCCAGCCAUACCGCGUGGGUGAAGAAGGCCUUCGGGUUGUAAAGCCCUUUUGUUGGGAAAGAAAAGCAGCAGGUUAAUACCCCGCUGUUCUGACGGGACCCAAAGAAUAAGCACUGGCUAACUUCGU
Molecule: ribosomal RNA, 491 nt
Filed under: uncultured bacterium
Lineage: Bacteria
Description: partial 16S ribosomal RNA
Rfam family: Bacterial small subunit ribosomal RNA
Source: RNAcentral